Molecule: non-coding RNA, 29 nt
Filed under: Homo sapiens (human)
Lineage: Eukaryota; Metazoa; Chordata; Mammalia; Primates; Hominidae
Source: RNAcentral
UCUCCAUCUGUAGUUGUUUCAGUGACCCC